RNAcentral lists this long non-coding RNA (214 nucleotides) under Carica papaya (papaya). Its description in RNAcentral is "long non-coding RNA (CPAP_LNC012398)". The record is from RNAcentral. Lineage: Eukaryota; Viridiplantae; Streptophyta; Magnoliopsida; Brassicales; Caricaceae.
UCAAAUGCAGUGGACUACAUCCCUUGAAAUAAAAUCAUGAGUGAAAUCAUAUUACAUGAGACAAUUUAAACUACAAAAAUUUAAAACAAAAAGUUACUUUAAUAUCUACCACCUCAAUUCUAUCCCAAAGCUAAGGAACUCUCCUCACACCUCAUCUGGCUGCUGAUCCUAUUCGGGUUCUUUAACCUGAAAAGAAAGCCUAAAUUGGGGUGAG